UACAGAGGGUGCAAGCGUUAUUCGGAAUUACUGGGCGUAAAGCGCACGUAGGUGGAUAAGUAAGUUGGAUGUGAAAUCCCCGGGCUCAACCUGGGAAUUGCAUUCAAAACUGCUUUUCUAGAGUAUAGUAGAGGGGAGUGGAAUUUCCGGUGUAGCGGUGAAAUGCGUAGAUAUCGGAAGGAACACCAGUGGCGAAGGCGACUCCCUGGACUAAUACUGACACUGAGGUGCGAAAGCGUGGGGAGCAAACAGG
Molecule: ribosomal RNA, 253 nt
Filed under: uncultured bacterium
Lineage: Bacteria
Description: partial 16S ribosomal RNA
Rfam family: Bacterial small subunit ribosomal RNA
Source: RNAcentral